RNAcentral lists this ribosomal RNA (464 nucleotides) under Vreelandella stevensii. RNAcentral's name for it is "partial 16S ribosomal RNA". It matches the Rfam family "Bacterial small subunit ribosomal RNA", at positions 338 to 795 of the family's 1533-position model. The record is from RNAcentral. Lineage: Bacteria; Pseudomonadati; Pseudomonadota; Gammaproteobacteria; Oceanospirillales; Halomonadaceae.
CCUACGGGUGGCAGCAGUGGGGAAUAUUGGACAAUGGGCGAAAGCCUGAUCCAGCCAUGCCGCGUGUGUGAAGAAGGCCUUCGGGUUGUAAAGCACUUUCAGUGGGGAAGAAAGCCUUGGGGCUAAUACCCUCGAGGAAGGACAUCACCCACAGAAGAAGCACCGGCUAACUCCGUGCCAGCAGCCGCGGUAAUACGGAGGGUGCGAGCGUUAAUCGGAAUUAUUGGGCGUAAAGCGCGCGUAGGCGGUCUGAUAAGCCGGUUGUGAAAGCCCCGGGCUCAACCUGGGAACGGCAUCCGGAACUGUCAGGCUAGAGUGCAGGAGAGGAAGGUAGAAUUCCCGGUGUAGCGGUGAAAUGCGUAGAGAUCGGGAGGAAUACCAGUGGCGAAGGCGGCCUUCUGGACUGACACUGACGCUGAGGUGCGAAAGCGUGGGUAGCAAACAGGAUUAGAUACCUAGUAGUC